GACGAACGCUGGCGGCGUGCUUAACACAUGCAAGUCGAACGGAAAGGCCCUGCUUUUGUGGGGUGCUCGAGUGGCGAACGGGUGAGUAACACGUGAGUAACCUGCCCUUGACUUUGGGAUAACUUCAGGAAACUGGGGCUAAUACCGGAUAUGAGCUCCUGCUGCAUGGUGGGGGUUGGAAAGUUUCGGCGGUUGGGGAUGGACUCGCGGCUUAUCAGCUUGUUGGUGGGGUAGUGGCUUACCAAGGCUUUGACGGGUAGCCGGCCUGAGAGGGUGACCGGCCACAUUGGGACUGAGAUACGGCCCAGACGGCUACGGGAGGCAGCAGUGGGGAAUAUUGCACAAUGGGCGGAAGCCUGAUGCAGCAACGCCGCGUGCGGGAUGACGGCCUUCGGGUUGUAAACCGCUUUCGCCUGUGACGAAGCGUGAGUGACGGUAAUGGGUAAAGAAGCACCGGCUAACUACGUG
RNAcentral lists this ribosomal RNA (468 nucleotides) under uncultured bacterium. RNAcentral describes it as "partial 16S ribosomal RNA". It matches the Rfam family "Bacterial small subunit ribosomal RNA", at positions 28 to 507 of the family's 1533-position model. The record is from RNAcentral.